Phascolarctos cinereus (koala) is the source of this 1210-nucleotide long non-coding RNA. RefSeq lists it as uncharacterized. Lineage: Eukaryota; Metazoa; Chordata; Mammalia; Diprotodontia; Phascolarctidae. The record is from RefSeq and is a predicted model, not a curated record.
GUCAUAAAUUCUUCCCUUUUCCAUAGAUCUGACAGGCAAAUUAUUCUAUGCUCCCCCAAUUUAACCACAGCAUCACCCUUUAUACCUAAAUCGCGUACCUAUUUUGACCUUAUCUUGGUAUACAGUGUACUGAUACAUUUUCUGAAGCUGAAGUUUAAACAUUUUGGCCACCUAAUGAGAAGAUAUCACUCACUGGAAAAGACUCAGAUGUUGGGAAAGAUUAAAGGCAAAGUUCAUUUAUUAACAAGUCUACCAGGCUUUGGGGGACACAAUGAUUAUUUCAUUUGGUCUUCACUCCAGCCCUGUGAGAGUCAUUGAAGUCCAGUGACAAGACAAAGGUCAAGACACUGGCAAUAGUCUAGGAUACAGUGGAUGAACUUUAGCAUCUUGGACAUCUGACCAAGCUCUAAGCACUCCACAGCACCUGCUAGUUGCCUUCAUGGCCACUGGAACAAAUUGUUCUCAUCUGCCCAUUUCGCCAGGGGAAGUCUCCACAUGCAAGGGGUAGAUAUCCCUCUAACUUACCAACAGGUUUGAGUCCCAUCAGUUACCUUCAGCCUGGUUUGCUAGUCUGCUGAGAUGCUUUCACCAGGGUAUGGCUGCUGCACGUGCUACAGCUUCUUGGAGCCACAGGCAGCUGUGAAGGAGGAAGAAGGAAGAGGAUAGGAAGAGACUGGAGAUCGUAAAGAGCAACAAAAGAGUUGAAAGUAUUAUCCUUUUUCCCCACACCUGGAGUACUGAUGUUGCCUUCAUUAUUAACUAUUUGACCUCAGGUGACCAAAACAUAAUCCCAAGAUGAAUUUGUUCAGCCUUGGAGGCAGCUUUCUGACUUUGAAAGAGCAGAGAAUCCCAAGUCCCUCAAUCACAGCUGACUGUCAACAGGAGGAGUGAUCUUCAGCUAUACCCUUCUUGGAGAAAUGGCACCAACAGGAAGUUGAGUCCAAUCCCUGACCUGGCUUGCCAAAAAAUAUUACUCUUGAAGAAGACAGUGCAGAGCUGUGUGUAAGGAAAAAUGCAUAUUGAGCAGGCCUACAAACUGCUUCGUGUUUUGAUGGUUUUAAAUCUCAACCUUCUGGUAAAGUGUAACAAUAGCUAGCUAUAAGUUAAUACUGCUUGUUUAAGAAUUUGGCAAUUUGUGGUGACCUCAGACAAACUGAGACCUGGGAAAGACUUAAAUUUAGAAAGGCCAAGGUCAUCUACUAUAUCUUGG